This 11659-nucleotide long non-coding RNA is filed under the name Lynx pardinus (Iberian lynx). The record is from RNAcentral. Lineage: Eukaryota; Metazoa; Chordata; Mammalia; Carnivora; Felidae.
GAGGCAGAGUUUUGGCCGAUCGGCGAGGGCAGCGCUGUAUGCCCCCAACGAGCCCAUGCUUGACUACAACAUGGUCAUCAUCUUCGUCAUGGCCGUCGGCACCGUCGCCCUCGGGGGCUACUGGGCCGGGAGCCGGGACGUGAGGAAGUGAGUGUCCCGGGGAGACCUCUCCCUGGCCGCCCAGGGAAGCCCGUGACGCGGUCGGUGCCGGGUUGGGGGUCCGCGGGUGGUCCUAGCACUGGCCGAGGGCAUCGCGCCUCUUUCCAUCAAAAGCGGCCGUCACGGCUUGGCUCCUCCUGGGGCUGGGGCCCGCCUGGCAGCCCCUCGCCGCGUGGUCUCGCGAGGUCCCCGGGGUGGGGUCCGGCUCUCUCGUCGAAGGGACGGCAGGGAUGUGUGAUGGGCGUGGAGGGGCCGCCCCUCAGCCCCGCGGACGCCUGCGUCCUGCUGCCCCUGCCCGCCCCUCCCCGUCCCCGUGCCGGCCGGCAGGGUGCCCCUGACCCGGCUGUGCCUCCCAAGAAGGUCCAUGAAACACAAGCGGGAUGACGGGCCCGAGAAGCGGGAGGACGAGGCCGUGGACGUGACGCCCGUCAUGAUCUGUGUCUUCGUGGUCAUGUGCUGCUCCAUGCUGGUGUUGCUGUACUACUUCUACGACCAGCUCGGUGCGCCCCCGGCUCACCAGAGGGACGCCGAGGCCCGUACCCCCGCUCCCCGGUCCCGGGUCCCCCCUCCACCUGCUUGCGGGGUUCCACUUGAGAAGGCGGUGGUGGGGCGAACGCGGGCCGCCACCGCCGGCCCGAAGGAGGGGACCUCUGCUCGGGGAACUGUCCCUCUCGUUACCAGCUGCCGGCCACCCAGCUAGGGUGCACGAACACCUGGAGCCCUUUCUCGGGCGGGGGGCCAGGGUGGGAGACCCAGGUGGCCCCCGGCCCUCAACGCUCGCCCCACCCCGCCCCGCAGUCUAUGUGAUCAUAGGGAUCUUCUGCCUGUCCUCCUCCACGGGCCUCUACAGCUGCCUGUCUCCACUGGUCCAGAGGCUGCCGUUCGGCAGAUGUAGGUAAGCCCCCCGCGGGAGGCCCCUGCCCGGCCCUGCACCCCCGGCGCCGCUCACUGAGGUCCCACCUUGCCACCUUUCCUCGGCCUGUCCCUGGUGCGGUCUCCCGUCUCCCGGCCCCUGGAGCUCCAAGCUCUGCUUCAGUGGUGCCGAGGACCCCCUCCCUGUCCUGUGGCCCCCGGCCAGUCUGGCGUGGCGUGGGCAGGCCACGCGUGCUCACUCAGUGCAGGCUGGGGCUCGCGGCCUCAGGAGUAGGGCGGAGCAGAGAGGCGGGUGGUGGUUCCCCAGCCUCUCUCUCCCUGCAUCCCAUUCCGGGUCAGGCCCAGUGUCGACACCGGGGCUGAAGCGGGGCGAUGUGGAUGCAUGUGGGUCCAGGGCAGGGGCGGCAGGGCAGGGCCGUGUGGCCGAAGGCGCUGCCGGUCCAGGCCCCUGGGGCCCUCGGCCGCCAGGGGCCAGUGGCCGAGCGCUGAAAGGUUUGAAGGAGGGCAGGGCCGGCUCGGCGCUGGCUGGGGUCUGCCCACCCCCACGUGCCAACCCCUGCUCUGUCUGCCCUGGACCUGGGGGGCCUCCCUUCUAGAAGUCAAUUAAGAGGUCAGGGCAGAGUUCAAUAGGGAACGGAGGCGGGGGCAGCAGGAGGCCCCGUAAGGAUGAGGGGCCCAGGGUUUGGGGCAGGGGUGGAAGUGACCCUCUGGGUGCUGGGUGGAGGUGAGGAACAAGCUGGCCCUGACAGCUGCGCCCCCCCCCCCCGCCCCCAGGGUCCCCGACAACAGCCUGCCCUACUUCCACAAGCGGCCUCGGGUCGGCAUGCUGCUCCUGGCGCUGCUCUGCUUGGCCGUCAGCGUGGUGUGGGGUGUCUUCCGGAACGAGGACCAGUGAGUGCCCCCCACCGCGGGCUGUCCUCAGGUGCCCUCUGUGCUCGUCUCCCCGCGACCGUGAGCCGGGCUGUGUGGCGGCCAGGUGCCGCCCGCGUCCGGUGCCACUGGGUUUGUCGGCUGCCACGUGAACCGUGAUUGGAAUGUGGAUAUGGUUCCCGCGAAGCCUCCCGGCCCCGGGCGCCCUGAGCGAGCGCGUGGCCUCCGGGGUGCCCGCUGGUGCAGGGAGGCCCUGGCCGCCGGCCCCUGACACCACCUGGCGCUCCCUCCGAGCCUUUUCUGGGGCGGUUAACCGCUCUUGGCCGCGCUGCCGUUUGGAGCCACGACAGCUUUAAUUGGGCAGAAGGAAAACGUGAAAAUAUUUUGAGUCCUUUGUACACAAAGGGAACACGAGCUCCCACGGUUAGAUUCGAGCCACAAGACUCGCUCUGUUCUUUAAAAUUAGAGCAGGCCCAGUUCCCUCUGCGUCUGGGCGCCCACUGGCCGCCCGCAAGCCUCCUCUUUGUUCUUUGCGGCUGCCCCGGCCGGGAGAUGUUUUCAUCCCGGUCUGAUGAGUAACCUGGGCCGCGGCCUCCUUGCCGCCCCAGCGCGGGCGAGCCUGUGGACCGGGCGGGGUGGCUUGUGUGUGUGUGUGGGGGGGAGCUCCCUGCAGCUGCUGGGGUGACAGUCUUACCCGCCCCCCCCNCCCCCCCCCCCCCCCCCCCCCCCCGCCGCCACCUUGCAGUCCCUGAGCUCCCAUUUCUGGCACCAAGAGAUUUGGUGUAGAACCUGGCUGGCGAGCAUUUGGCUUUGCUAAAUCACAUAAAAAAUAGUUUUGAAGCAAACCCGAGUCCAGUAGAGUCCAAUAGUUGCACAGUGUCCCCACCCCAUCCCCCCGCCCCGUCCCGUGAUGUGGGGGUGAACGCCACCACCCAAGAGAGACAGCCCCUGAGCGUGUGCACCCAUUCCUGCCUCACUCCCCCCGCCUCCCCCCCCAGCCUUGGUCCCGUGCCUGUGUCUUCACAGCAUGGGGUCGGGCUGGGAACGGACAGCUUGCACAAGCUGGGAGCCAAGGUGGCCAAGGAGGGAGCGACCCGCCGGGUCAUAGCUCUUGGUGGAGCCCCUGCCCCAGCGGGUGACCACCACUCUGCUCCCCAGGUGGGCCUGGAUCCUUCAGGACGCACUGGGCGUCGCCUUCUGCCUCUACAUGUUGAAAACCAUCCGCCUCCCCACUUUCAAGGUGAGGGUCCCAAGGGGGUGGGGCCGCCGGAUGGGAGGGGGCUGUGUCCUCAGGGCGGCUGCAGGCCGGCCCGCCCCCGUGUCCGCCCAGGGUGUCCCGGGUCCCCUGUGGACAGCAUGUUCUUUGUGCCUCUGUCCGUCCCGCCACCUCUCUGGUGUCAGGGCUUAAGGAUCAACCGCAGGAUCGCCUCCCAGUGUGGCGGCCACGCCAGUGACAGCUUGGCGCUGAGGAUUCCCCGGGUGGGGCCGCAAGGCGGCCGCAGGGCAGGGCCCUUCCCGAGGCGGCCACCGUGGCGGUGCCGGGUCAACUUCCUGCUGGUGAGCCGCGCACACACAGGCAAAAGGGGGCGGCAGCGCCAGCGCAGGCCCCGUGGGCAGGACCGAGAAGUCCACGGGAAGACGUGAAGAAGGGGCGUCACCGCCCCAAAGCCACAGAAUGCGUGUCGCUGGAGCCACCUGCCUUCCAGCUUUUCCAUCACUCAGAACCGUGGCCUGACUCACGUGCUGCCCUGGUCUCCCGCGGCUCCAGGGGAUGGGACUGGAUUUGCUCAGAUUUGCCCCUAGCUGCUUUGUCCCGUGGGCACGGCUGAGCCUUGUGGGGGGAGGUGGGGGUGGGGACGCGGCCUGGGGGUGUGCGCCGGGGACCUUCUGAGCGCGGCCCCUCAGGACGUCCUCUCCCCAGGCCUGCACGCUGCUGCUGCUGGUGCUCUUUGUCUACGACGUCUUCUUUGUGUUCAUCACGCCCUUUCUGACCAAGGUGGGCGCCCCUGCCCUGCCCUGCCGCUGCACCCCCUGUCCCCGUGCCCCUUCUCUGACACCCCCCCCCCCUUUGUUAGAGUGGGAACAGCAUCAUGGUGGAGGUGGCAACCGGGCCCUCGGACUCGGCCACCCACGAGAAGGUACGUAGGGGGCCCCCGGCCGGGGCGCCGCCCGGAGAAGAGUGCUGGGCACGCGCGGCCCCCCGGACAUGGCACUUCCUGCUCCCCCCAGCUCCCCAUGGUCCUGAAGGUGCCCCGACUGAACGCCUCGCCGCUGGCCCUGUGUGACCGGCCCUUCUCCCUCCUGGGCUUCGGGGACAUCCUGGUGCCAGGUACUGGGGUGCGAGGUGGGCGGCCUUGGGAGCGUCCAGUGGGUGGAGCCUGAGCGGAGCAGGCCGGGUUUGCCCCCUGGGUGGCGGGCUGGCCGCCGAGCCCCGUCUGAAAGCAGGGACGGCCGUCACACGGGACGCCGCCGGGCCCACGCGCCUUCUCCCCGCAGGGCUGCUCGUGGCCUACUGCCACAGGUUCGACAUCCAGGUGCAGUCGUCCAGGGUCUACUUUGUAGCCUGCACCGUGGGUAAGCGCCCUCCUUGUAUCUGUCCGUCCUUCGUUCUGUCCUUGUCCCCCACUUCUUUCUUUGGUUACCAAAGCCAUUGCUACAGAACCGACCUGUCCUGUGGAGCCCGAUUGCUUUGAGAGUUUUCCAGACCGGCCGGCCUGCUCACCUCUGGUCAGCCCUUCCGGAGGAGCAGCGAGCCUGCCCGAUGGCGCCUGUCCGUGUGCAUGCGUGUCCCCCGCCAUGGGGGAGCCAGGCUGGGGGAGGGGCUGCCUGACGACUCCCUCCCCCGCGUCGUGGGCCGCGUGCACAGGCCCCGGCAGCCCACCCCGGCAGAGGCGAGGCCCUGUAAAUGCCCCUGGGAGCACCAGGACGACCGGGGCUGACCUUCCGGGCGUACCUUGGGGUCGCCUGUGUCUUCCCACCCCGGUGGCUACGGCUGCAGGCACGCCCCCCUCGUCCCCUUUGCCGGCCCUAAACCUUCCCUUGGGCUUUACACACCACACUCAUCCUUCAGGUACCGUUGCAAGGGCUUUGUGUGUGUGAGCCGCUUGGCCGGCUUGUGUGUGUGGUUCCUUGUCGAGCCUGCGGACCUUGCGGGCAGCGGGCGCCUUUCUCCUCCGCAGCCGCAGCCGCAGCCCGCUCCCGUGGACCGCCGGUAAGUGACGCACAGCUCUCCCCGGAGGUGAGGACCGCCGAGCGAGCCGCGAUCUCGGAGGAGGUUACUGUAGCCUAACUCCUCGAGGAGACGGUUGCGGAUUUACCGCUGCAGGAUUAGCGCAAAGAGCGCCUGCACGCCGGCCCUCGGGUCCAGCAGCGUGUGCGUGCGUGACUGUGUGUGCAAGUACGUGUGUGUGCGUGCGCAAACGCGCGUCCUUCUAUGCUGGCGCUCACGUAUGGAACCGACGUGCGGGAUUUAUUCGGACCUUCGCCCCUCGGGGCUCCGUCGGGUAUCUCAUGAGAAUGGAAACAGCCUUUCGAACGAUCACAGCUUGUUACGAACAUUUGCUUUUGUAACUUUGUGCGGACGUUACUCUUCUCCAGAAUUCUCUUCCUAGCCAGAGGCUGAGCAGACAGGUGCUCAGGCAGUUAACGGGCCUUUCUCUCACUGCCCCUGUGGCUCCAGACCCGGGGCUCAGCCAUGGAGCCUUGCUCAUUCCCGCCUUCUCGCUGGCGCCCGGUGGGACCGGGCAGGGGUGUGUGUGCCGGAAGACGCAGGCGCAUCCGUGCGCAGGCAGGCAGCCCCCUGCCUGCCCCGGGUGCCCCAUGCGCUACCGUGUGGCGGGCGCCCCGCCUCUCCGGUCCCCGUUCCGGCAUCCCGGCCGCAGGCGGGUGCUGGGCCGCGGGGCCACCCGUGGGGGUAACACGCCGCCCGUCUCUCCCUGCAGCCUACGGGAUCGGCCUCCUGGUGACGUUCAUGGCGCUGGCCCUCAUGCAGCGCGGCCAGCCCGCCCUCCUCUACCUGGUGCCCUGCACGCUGAUGAUAAGCUGCGCCCUGGCGCUCUGGCGCAGGGAGCUGGGCAUGUUCUGGACGGGCAGCGGCUUUGCGGUGAAUACCCGUUUGCUAUGACUGUCUGCGAGAAAUAAUAACCCAAUAAGCCCUAACUAGAGUUAAAGUUGAGUAAAACCUCCUAGUUUCACGACUAAACCCCGCGGCCUCUGUCCCCGUUCCCAGAAGGUUCUGUUUGGUGUCCUGUCCGUGUGGCUCUGAAGGGUCCGAGCCGUCCCAGCAGAGGGGACGCGCUUGUGCCGUCCCACUGGGUGUGGCUUGAGGAUGGUGCUAACAGCCCUUUACUAGAGGUGCCAGUCCCGAGGGACCGUAACACCCCAUGUGAUGGGAUACUGGCUUCCGGCUGCUUCAGCCCUUGGGAACACAGUGCCGAGCUGGGGGGGCCCCCGAGGUCCUCUGCCAGGGUGGGGGCUGUCCGCCCAGGACGGGGAAAGGGCAGGGGGCCCGGGGGCAAGCUGUGCAAGGCCAGGUGGAGGAACCCAAGCUCAGCCUGUGGCGCCACCGCCCCCCUCGUGGAGUGGAUCACGGCCAGUGGCUUGCUGUUCCUGGUUUUUGAGACAGAAGAGGAGAGGGACGGAGGCCACUCUUGGUGCAGCGCAGCACAUUCGAUGGGACGAGGGCACGUGUUUCAGUGGCGCAGGGACAGAGCUGACGCCCUGCGGGUAUGGAAAGGCUGCGGCUGCCUCUGCUGCCCUGUCAGUAGCACACAGAGGCGGGCGACACCGGGACCAGCCUUGUCAGUUACAGGAGCUCCUGAGUGUGACAUGUGUCCCUCUGGAGCGCUGCUGGUUGAGUGUGGUGUUACCGUGCCAGGUUUUGUGGAAGUUGAAACUCGCACCCUCUCCGUCCUGGCCUAGAGGCGCCGAACGGAGCAGGGCCCCAGGUUAACCUGAUAGAUGAACCAGAUAACGUAACCGAUGGAUGAUAGGGCCUUGGGCCCUCCCGCGGGCCCUCGGGGAAACGCUCCCGGCUUCAUCGCCCACCGUCCUCAGAGGCUCUCAGUCCCGAGGAGUGCUGGCUUUGCCACAGGGCAAAGUUCUGGAAGGUUCAGGAGGCCGGGGAACAAGGCUCAGCGUUUCUGCAUUGGGUCACCGGCCUGUGGUCCCGCCUUCUGGCUGGUGCUACUUGGCCCCAAGGGAAGGUGGCUCCUGGGUCUGGAGCUGGACCCUCGGGGGACGGUGACUCAUCUGCCCUCCCCUGUCCACUGUCCCCGGGCUUUCCUGUCCUCGUCCCACGCCUGACUGUGGCCUCUUCUCUUACAGAAGGACCUACCUCAGUCUCCUUGGGCGGCGUCUUCAGCCGACGGCCCCCAGCCCCAGACGGACUCAGACACUGGCCUCUCCCAGCCGCCUCCAGGCGAAGGACUGGCCAAGUGCUCCCUGCCCACGAAGCAGCCCCCGGCAUUGUCUGCGCCCGAGGAGACGGGGGCCAGAGCACCCCCCCAGGAGCCCACGAGCCCAGCCAGCCGCCCCCCUGAACCCACAGGCCCGGUAGGCACCUCGGCCUAGAUGAUGGCGCAGACUCUCGGGCCCUCGCUGCCGCCCCUCUGCGCCGAGAGACCCCGAGACUGGACGUGCUCGGCCCUCCCCCCCCCAACUUGGUGCUCUGGUCUGGCCGAUGUCCCCGCUCUUCCUCCUCCUUGAGCAGAGCCCAGCUGCACCCUGGACCCUCUCCAGCUCCUGCUCCCGGCCCGAGUGGCUGCCGCGAGCCCCCGGACCGACGAGGUCACCCGUGUGGAGCGCCCAGCUCCGCGGUCUUGCCUGUCGACUCGGUGGUUCCUCGGAAAGGGCAGGAAGUGCCGCCUCCGACCGCCCACGGCUGCAGAUCCGCCCACAUCUGGUGCUUACCUUGCCGCCACUUCCCUCAGGUUCUCUCCUGUGCCGCGCCUGCGCGUCCCCAGGGACGCUGGCCAGCAGAGCCCAGUCCGGCACCUGGGCCCUGGAUGUCUGGACUCAGGAUGCGGGCCCGGCUGGCCGGGUCGGACCUGCCUCUGUGUCGGCAGGGACUGCAAGCGGCGCCCGGCGUGACGGGCCACCCCUCUCGGGCCCGCCUGGCUCUUCCAGCAGCCAGGGCCGCCCAUGCCUGCGCUCCAGCUUCUCCGCCUCUUAAUAAACGGCCAUGACUCGUUGAGCUCCGUAGUGUCACCUCUUGGGUGUGAGUCUCUCGGACCACCCUUGUUGGGGCGGGUGGGUGCCAGGCCGCACCCUCCACGGCGGCUGUGUCUUCUGUGUGGGCUCCGUUUGGUCUUUCAGCUUAGAGGGACUGGGGAGGGGGGCACCGUCCUCUCGGCAUCUGCACAUUCUCAACCCCACCCCAGACCGGCCUCUAGCGACACCACCGGCCGGGCGAGCAUACUUUUUAUUUAAACCGCCCAGGAGUUUCUGCAACGUGGAGCGUAUUCUGGAAUCGGCGUUUUGUCUUCUACCUCACCGACAGGGUUCUCCGAACGUCAGGACAGAAAUGCCGCGGUGCAGCGGCCCCCGUGCCAGGGCCGUGCCCGUCCACGCAGCUUACAGACUCAAGUUCAGAAAGACAUAGACCCUCCAGCCGCACGGUCCCAGCUCUGUCCCCGACGUGUCUGCUGAUCAGUUGUAGACAGCAGGCGGGGGGUCAACCAUGAUCCAUUCCAGAAAAUACCAGCACCAGACAGACUCACAGCCUUUGUCAGCCAUGCUUCUCUAGAAGAAAUGGUUAUUCCAAAAAAAAAAAACAGACGUUUUCCACCUGUUUCUGUGUGUCUCUUAAAAAAACAGGUGACCUGGGAGGGAGACCAGCUGGACCUGCCGACCCCAGAGAGCCCCUGACUCGGAGGCCGGAGCUGGGGUGCAGCCCUGGGCGGCCGGGGUGCCAGGCCUGAGUGGCCCCCUUUGCACAUCGGCCCACACCUUACUCUAAGCCAUUUUGUACGUCGGUGUAGGAGCCGGGAUCUCUCUCUGUCUUCUGUGUUUGACAAACAUCAAGGAAUUCGAGGCGGCUGUUAGUUCCUGAAGUUUCCAUUUGCAGUUUUUGCCUUCUGUAUUUUUGAAGGGAAACAGAGCAUGAGUGGGGGAGGGACAGAGAGAGACAGAGACAGAAUCCUAAGCACACUCCACUCCAGGCUCUGAGCUGUCGGUACAGAGCCCGCCGCGGGGCUGGAACCCAGGAGCCGCGAGAUCAUGACCAGAGUUGGGCGUUCAACCGACUGAGCCCCCCCAGGCGCCCUGACACAGCUUGGCCUGAUAGUUGUUGCUUGGCUCUCAUGUUUUCCACAGUGUGGCAGCUGGCAGAGCCCGGCCCGGCAGGAUCAGAGUGGCCUGGUCUGUGAGGAUGGCCACACCGCCCCGGGGAGCGCGUCCACACCGCCCACUGGAGCCGAGCGGGGCUGCUGUCCUAUUUCCUGGCACUGGAGAGUCGAAGGAAGCCCAGUCAGUGCUCGGUCCACCCCGUGUUCCGGGCCAUCGCUUGUCCGUGGUGAUCUAAGCAGCGUGGCCGGGAUCCGCACCCCGUGGACUUUGUGAAGAGCCAGCCAGCGUGCUUGGGGUCUUCCAGGCCACCCACUCCCUGCCACAACUCAGCCCCGCUGCCAUAACCCAAGUGUCACAGCACGUGGCGGGCAGGCGUGCCCGUGGCCAGGGCGCUGACGGACACAGAGACGUGCCUUCCGAGUGGUGUUCAGAGGUCACGUGAUGGCCUCCUUUUGGUAUUUUUCAACUAGUCAACACAGUGAAGCCCUUUCUUUGCCAGCAUCUUCCAAGGGCGGCGGGCCCACCCCCGGCUGUGCCGCCCACGGUGUGAGCGGUGCCUCUGCUCUGCUGCAGAGAGAGAAGGCGAGGCUCCCGAGGCCGGUCCACUGGGCAGCGCGGGGCUGGCGGAGACGCAGCAGAGACGUGUCGCUCCUCCGAGAUGGUCCCGACACCGGGUGCUCAGUGGUCUCGGCCAGGCCGCGGGGGCCGGGGGCCCAGCGUCCUUCGUGAGGGCAGGGAGGGCCCCACGCGCAGAGCUGCGGGUGGGCGCAGGGGGGACAGUGCUCCUGCCCUGUGGCGGGGCUCGGCUCGGUGCUGGAGUGCGGGCUCUGUAGUUGGCUCGGGGCCGUGAGGACAGCAGUGUUCUUCCACUAAAGCCCCAGAGCUUAUUUGGUUUCCACGACUCAUUCAUUCCAUCAGCCUUCAUUGAGCGCCUGCUGUGUGCCAGGCCCCCGACUCCACCGGGGAUUCACGUGCGAGGCUCAGACCCCACUCUGCCCCAGGUGGCUGACCCUGGAGAGGAGGGACAGGACACGAGUCCACACCUGUCUUUGUCUUUGGGAAGGGAACUUGGAGGAGACAGGUGAGGCCUGUAGUGGGGAGAUCAGCAUGGCUGCUGGGAGGGCAGGAGAGGGGCAGGGGUCUCUUGGCCCCGUGGGGAAGGCAUGGCCGGUGUCACCAGAAGGUGAGGGGGCAAGAGUCCUAGAAAGGGCAUAGUGGCACCUGUCCUGGUGGGGGGAGGGGAGGGAGACCCCUCCCCCCACAGCUGUCGUAGCUCAAGGACAGGUGCAGCAGUGGGAAGAGCCCAGGUCUGCAGUCUUGGCUUACAUGCUGGAGGAGUGACCUCGGUCAUGCCCCUAUGCUCCCUCUGGGGCUGUAGCUGUUGCUUCUGCCAGUGGUGUGACGGCUGCUUCUCCAGGGCCUCCCUGCAUGUGCUCAGGAAAUGGGACCAUGCUGCAGGCAGCCGGGACCCGGAGGAUUGCUCUCCCUCUAGCACCAUGCUUGGCUCCCCACGGCUUAUGGCGUUUCCCACAAAAGUCAGUCACCACUUAGGACAUGAAAGACGAUGCCACCAAUGGUAGUAAGACAGCUGGUCCCUGGAGGCAAUUCAGAAAAUGUCCCCUGAGCGUCCUGAGCAGAGAUGAAGAUGUGUUCCCCCCAGGGCCGGUGAGGGAGAAGUAAGCAGGUGGGGAGGCCGGGGUCCCAGCGUGGCUGUGGCAAGCGUGUCAAAACUGAGGCCAGGCCCCUGCCCCAGCCUGGCCACGACAAACGCCGCCCCCCCCAGUCCUGACCAGCCCUUUCCCGACUGCCCACGGCUUCAGAAUCGAGGGGCCUGAGAAAGUGCCUCAGCCUGGGGGACCUGGGCCAGAACCUGAAUAAAGUGCGGAUGUUCGCUAACUAACAAUGUGUCACUAUCGGUUCGUUAAUUGUGAUGGCGUGUCACUCACGGAGAAAACGGGGUGCAGAGUAACUGGCGCUCUCCACAGCUCUUCCGUAAAUCUGAAACUUCUGAAAUCAAGUUGGUUUUUUAAACUAUGGUAGUUACUCACACACCCCUUCCCCGAGAACCCCCCCACCCCCCACCCCCCACCCCCCACCCCCACCCGGGCCCGGGCCCGGACUCGCCCGCCCCUGGCCUCACCCUCCACCUGCGCCCCAGGGGGAGGAGGGAGGCCGCGCCCCCGGCCCCGCCCCGACUCCCUGGUGCUGGCGGCUCGCUGGGCUCCGCUGGCCGGCGGUGGUGGCGGCUCUGGCGCGGCCUCAGCCCCUGCGCGGCUCCGCGGCUCGGUGAGUCUGGGUCCCCGGAAGGGCUGGGGCGGCCCCUCUGCGCGGUGGCUCCCGGGGCGGCACCGCGCGGCAGGUGGGGCAGAGCCACCGCGGAGCCGGCUGGACAGGUGGCGGGGAGGGGGGGCCCGGGGGUCGCGGCGACGGAGGCCAGUUGCACUGCGUGUCCCGGCAGCCAAGGGCGCCG